RNAcentral lists this transfer RNA (84 nucleotides) under Pseudobutyrivibrio sp. RNAcentral describes it as "tRNA-Ser". It matches the Rfam family "tRNA". From Rfam's summary of the family: Transfer RNA (tRNA) molecules are approximately 80 nucleotides in length. The record is from RNAcentral. Lineage: Bacteria; Bacillati; Bacillota; Clostridia; Lachnospirales; Lachnospiraceae.
GGAGGAAUGUCCGAGCGGUUUAAGGUGAGAGUUUGCUAAACUCUUGGAUCAAAAGUCCCGCAGGUUCGAAUCCUGCUUCCUCCG